AAGGAUCAUUGUCGAUACCUGUCCAAAACAGAACGACCCGCGAACAUGUAAUUACAAUCACCUGAUGAGGAAACGGGCUAUGGCCUUGAUCCUUGGUCCCUUGUCGGCGUGCGUUUGUGCCGCUCCGAAUGGAACGCCAUAGAUGUUUUGUUGACAAGUUAACCAACCCCGGCACGGAAUGUGCCAAGGAAAAAGAAAACAAAAGAAGGUUGUCCCGGUUUUUGCCCCGUUCGCGGUGUGCAUGCUGGUUGUGACUCUUUGAAACAUAAACGACUCUCGGCAACGGAUAUCUCGGCUCACGCAUCGAUGAAGAACGUAGCAAAAUGCGAUACUUGGUGUGAAUUGCAGAAUCCCGUGAACCAUCGAGUUUUUGAACGCAAGUUGCGCCCGAAGCCAUCCGGCCGAGGGCACGCCUGCCUGGGCGUCACACAUCGCGUCGCUCCCCCAUGUAUAUCAGAUUUGGGAUGCAUGGUGUCGGGGCGGAGAUUGGUCUCCUGUGCAACUGCUGCGGUGGCCCAAACAUGAAUCACCUUCGGUUGACGCACGGCUAGUGGUGGUUGAAUAAGCCCUCGUCUUUUGUCGUGCGUCGUUUGCUGCAAGGAAAGCUCUUGUAUAAAGACCUAAUGCGUUGUCUUGUGAUGACGCUUCGACCGCGACCCAGGUCAGGCGGGACUACCCGUUGAGUUUAAGCAUAUC
This 696-nucleotide ribosomal RNA is filed under the name Asplenium sp. CV 605. RNAcentral describes it as "eukaryotic LSU rRNA". The stretch from base 272 to 427 matches the Rfam family "5.8S ribosomal RNA". The record is from RNAcentral. Lineage: Eukaryota; Viridiplantae; Streptophyta; Polypodiopsida; Polypodiales; Aspleniaceae.